Molecule: long non-coding RNA, 823 nt
Organism: Helianthus annuus (common sunflower)
Lineage: Eukaryota; Viridiplantae; Streptophyta; Magnoliopsida; Asterales; Asteraceae
Exons: 6
Source: RefSeq, a predicted model, not a curated record
UCUGAUCCAAUGAAUGGGAAAAUAUAAUUGUAGGCGGGCUUUUUCCCUCCCAUCUAUUUUCACCAAUUCUCUGAUAAACCCCAAAUAUUGCCUCUAGUAUUGCAGCAUCUCCCCCAAAAAUCACCAACCAUACGAGACCCAUCUCCAAAAUCACCACCACAUACACCAACCAGCACCAGACGCACCCCCACCUUCAACCCUUCCCGCACCAGACGCACCCCCACCUUCAACCGCCAUCUUCAUCCGCGGCUCCGAAACCACCACCACUGGUCUUCAUCACCAACGGCCCACCAACAUCCAAAAUCGUGUUUUUACUGACAUGGACAAAGUCGCUGCUCAUCUAUGGUCAAACUGGUCAACUAUGGUCAAACUCGGCUAGAGGUUGGUUUAAUUGCUUUAGCAAAUCAUUCGGUCGCGAAGUGCUGGUUCAUCUACUACUUUUGCUCAUUUUGGAUGGAACGACAGGUCUGAAUAUGCUGCCACAAGCUGGGGAGUUCAAUGAGGUAAAACUAAAAGAAUCAGCUCAUUUCAGGAGUCAGCUACUGCCACAAUAUGAAAGUAUGUCACCAUGCCUUGAAACUGGAAAACACACUUCUAGAUGGUAGUUCAGCUCCGCAUACCAUGGCUCAAAAUAUUUUGAUUUUGGGUACUAAGGUACUUCACUAGUACACAACUCAUUUGAUGGUGCCAUGGGUUGUUUUUUUUAUGAUGCGGUGCCAUAAAAAAUCGCUUAUAUGUAAUUUCCACCAAAUUUAAAUUGUUGAGCAUCAUUUUGGCAAGACCUGCGCCUUUAAUAAUUAAAAUAACUAUUUAGUCUGUUACA